This is a long non-coding RNA of Pezoporus occidentalis (night parrot), 962 nucleotides long. RefSeq lists it as uncharacterized. Lineage: Eukaryota; Metazoa; Chordata; Aves; Psittaciformes; Psittacidae. The transcript is spliced from 3 exons. The record is from RefSeq and is a predicted model, not a curated record.
AGCACCUUCUGCAUUUUGAGUGACAGCUGGAGGCUGCACGUCUCGGAAGCCAUGAGACUGUGAGAUAUAAGCAAAAUCAUGUGAUAACACUUCUAUGGAUAUAAACCAUGAGUAACUAGUUCCCAGAAGAUCAGAAUAAGGUGAAUACAUUCAGGACUGAAAAAGGAAAUACCUAUUCAAUAGUUUGAAGAUCUCAUGGCAGCAUUCAAAUCUGCAGGAAGUGCUACGGCAGUGUGUUUCCAUGAGGACACAUGGCAAAUAGACUUACUGCUGACUUAUGAUCAUUUGCUAUGAUGAUCAGCUGCUGCGCCAGACCAUUCAAAAGCCUUGUCCGGAGUGAGAGGUCUUCAAACUCAUGGCGAAAAGGAAAUGCAAUUCCAUCAACUACCACCAGUCGGACCUAAACGUGGAAGAAAAGGAGAACUACCUUUAUUAUCCUACAAGCAAAUGACAAAAAGCAGCAAGACAUCUUUUUAAGUGCACUGGAAUGUUUUGUAUAAGGUGAUGACAACCUUAUUUCAUACUCAAAUGUGCAUUAACAGCGUAACACCUAUUGUCUCUAGAUAUAUACUGGGAACAAUCAGCACUCCGUAAGAGUGCAGAGUAAACAGCUCCAAGCUUUGAACACACUAAGACACUUGCUAAGUGCAGUACUGCUUUAUUAAGGGAUACUAGCUCAGACUGUAGCUGCACUAGCUUAAACAAAAUGCUGCACUAAUAUGUCCCAUUAGUUAAGGCAGCACAGAGCUCUUUCCAGUUUCAGAGCUUGCUCACUUAGAGCUGACUUCUCUGGAGCACCCCACACAGAAUACAAAAUAAUAAACCUGGACUUAAAGCCUUGCAGAAGAGGAGCUGGAGAAAAAUAAAUUGUUAAACAUGAAGGUUGUACUCUGAUCAGCUCUCCAUGAACACUAAUUUAUUUCACCUUUUCCCUCAAAAAAUAAAUCCUAACAAGAUUAGAA